CACCGCCUGGGGAGUACGACCGCAAGGUUAAAACUCAAAUGAAUUGACGGGGACCCGCACAAGUAGUGGAGCAUGUGGUUUAAUUCGAAGAUACGCGCAGAACCUUACCAACACUUGACAUGUUCGUCGCGACUUUAAGAGAUUAAAGUUUUCGGUUCGGCCGGACGAAACACAGGUGCUGCAUGGCUGUCGUCAGCUCGUGUCGUGAGAUGUUGGGUUAAGUCCCGCAACGAGCGCAACCCUCACUUUUAGUUGCCAUCAUUCAGUUGGGCACUCUGAAAGAACUGCCAGUGAUAAGCUGGAGGAAGGUGGGGAUGACGUCAAGUCCUCAUGGCCCUUACGUGUUGGGCUACACACGUGCUACAAUGGUAUCUACAACAGGAAGCAAAACUGCGAAGUUAAGCAAAUCCUUAAAAGAUACCUCAGUUCGGAUUGCACUCUGCAACUCGAGUGCAUGAAGCUGGAAUUACUAGUAAUCGUGGAUCAGCGUGCCACGGUGAAUGCGUUCCCGGGUCUUGUACACACCGCCCGUCACACCAUGGGAGUUGGUUCUACCUUAAGGCAAGGUUUAAAACCCUUGACCACGGUAUAGUCAGCGACUGGGGUGAAGUCGUAACAAGGUAGCCGUAGGGGAACCUGCGGCUGGAUUACCUCCUUUCUAAGGAUGAAUGAAAGUUAAAUUUCAUUCUAAAUAAUAUACAGGUAAUGUUGACCGUCCUCAUUUCUCUUCUUAAACUAGUGUUUCUCUUGCAUGGGGGCCGGUAGCUCAGUCGGUUAGAGCACACCCUUGAUAAGGGUGGGGUCGAAAGUUCGAGUCUUUCUCGGCCCACCAAUUUAUGAUCAUGGGGGAUUAGCUCAGCUGGGAGAGCGCGUGAUUUGCAUUCAGGAGGUCAGCGGUUCGAUCCCGCUAUCCUCCACCAAAACAGUUAGUUAUAAAAAAUUGUAAAUAAAAAUAAUUAAUAUCAAUAUCUAUAUCCGAACAUUAGUAAUGUUAUUAGGUAAUGUUCAAAACAAAAAUUUGAUUCAACACAGAAUUUUUUUCUG
Molecule: small RNA, 1044 nt
Filed under: uncultured Pelagibacterales bacterium
Lineage: Bacteria; Pseudomonadati; Pseudomonadota; Alphaproteobacteria; Candidatus Pelagibacterales
Description: bacterial SSU rRNA
Rfam family: Bacterial small subunit ribosomal RNA (bases 1-658)
Source: RNAcentral